Molecule: long non-coding RNA, 227 nt
Organism: Sander lucioperca (pikeperch)
Lineage: Eukaryota; Metazoa; Chordata; Actinopteri; Perciformes; Percidae
Exons: 3
Source: RefSeq, a predicted model, not a curated record
ACAGUUUGCCCACUGGACAGACACAGCAAAGGCCAUCCUGCGAGGUGAGGUGCCACCAGUGUUCCGUCUGAAGAAGCAGAAAAUGGAUGACGUCACUGAGGGAGAGGAUCAAGUACACCCUGUUUUGCAGCCUCCCGAAGCUAGGGAUGAAAAAGAUGUUGAGAUGAAAGUCAGCAGAGUGGGUGGAAACAAACCAACAUUUGUUUUCAUCCAAGGUGGAGUUGCCC